GCUGGGUGCAGUGGUGCAUGCCUGUAAUCCCAGCAGCUCAGGAGGCUGAGGCAGGAGGAUCAUGAGUUUAAAGCCAGCCUCAGCAAAAGGGAGACCCUAAGCAACUCAGUGAGACCCUGUCUCUA
Molecule: small RNA, 125 nt
Filed under: Marmota monax (woodchuck)
Lineage: Eukaryota; Metazoa; Chordata; Mammalia; Rodentia; Sciuridae
Source: RNAcentral